CCUACGGGUGGCAGCAGUGGGGAAUAUUGCACAAUGGGCGCAAGCCUGAUGCAGCCAUGCCGCGUGUGUGAAGAAGGCCUUCGGGUUGUAAAGCACUUUCAGCGGGGAGGAAGGCGGUAAGGUUAAUAACCUUAUCGAUUGACGUUACCCGCAGAAGAAGCACCGGCUAACUCCGUGCCAGCAGCCGCGGUAAUACGGAGGGUGCAAGCGUUAAUCGGAAUUACUGGGCGUAAAGCGCACGCAGGCGGUCUGUCAAGUCGGAUGUGAAAUCCCCGGGCUCAACCUGGGAACUGCAUUCGAAACUGGCAGGCUAGAGUCUUGUAGAGGGGGGUAGAAUUCCAGGUGUAGCGGUGAAAUGCGUAGAGAUCUGGAGGAAUACCGGUGGCGAAGGCGGCCCCCUGGACAAAGACUGACGCUCAGGUGCGAAAGCGUGGGGAGCAAACAGGAUUAGAUACCCUAGUAGUC
Molecule: ribosomal RNA, 465 nt
Filed under: uncultured Klebsiella sp.
Lineage: Bacteria; Pseudomonadati; Pseudomonadota; Gammaproteobacteria; Enterobacterales; Enterobacteriaceae
Description: bacterial SSU rRNA
Rfam family: Bacterial small subunit ribosomal RNA
Source: RNAcentral